UAUAUUUUAGUGUAUGGGGCACAAAAAUUUUUGAUAUUUUUAGUAAUAGUUCAAUUCUAUUAAAUAUAA
Cephus cinctus (wheat stem sawfly) is the source of this 69-nucleotide non-coding RNA. Lineage: Eukaryota; Metazoa; Arthropoda; Insecta; Hymenoptera; Cephidae. The record is from the annotation of a RefSeq genome assembly.